UGCCUACGGGACGCAGCAGUGGGGGAUAUUGCACAAUGGGGGGAACCCUGAUGCAGCGACGCCGCGUGGGUGAAGAAGCGCCUCGGCGCGUAAAGCCCUGUCAGCAGGGAAGAAAAUGACGGUACCUGAAGAAGAAGCCCCGGCUAACUACGUGCCAGCAGCCGCGGUAAUACGUAGGGGGCAAGCGUUAUCCGGAUUUACUGGGUGUAAAGGGAGCGUAGACGGCGAUGCAAGUCUGAAGUGAAAGGCGGGGGCCCAACCCCCGGACUGCUUUGGAAACUGUAUGGCUGGGGUGCAGGAGAGGG
This 305-nucleotide ribosomal RNA is filed under the name uncultured bacterium. RNAcentral's name for it is "bacterial SSU rRNA". It matches the Rfam family "Bacterial small subunit ribosomal RNA", at positions 335 to 658 of the family's 1533-position model. The record is from RNAcentral.